UUUCCGUAGGUGAACCUGCGGAAGGAUCAUUACUAACGUAUCCACGUAUAAACCAAAAGCAGUUGAAUUUUGUUCGAAAACAUAUUCGUCCGUUAGGCUGGGAAUGAGUUGAUUUGGAGAUGUUUCUAUCUAUAUGAGAGAAAAUGUACAUCUCUGGUUGACUUCGGGCCUUCACGGGCUUACCCUACCUAGUUCGCGAAUUAAAAUAUAUCAAAAACAUUAAACUCAUAUUUUAACCCAUUUCACCCUAUUCUUUUAAAUGAACUUAACCUGAAUUCAUUAGAAAUAAUGAGUUUGAAAAAAUACGAAAUUAAGAACAACUCUUAACAACGGAUAUCUUGGCUCUC
This 347-nucleotide unclassified non-coding RNA is filed under the name plant metagenome. Its description in RNAcentral is "partial contains small subunit ribosomal RNA, internal transcribed spacer 1, and 5.8S ribosomal RNA". The record is from RNAcentral.